Molecule: unclassified non-coding RNA, 518 nt
Filed under: Hevea brasiliensis (rubber tree)
Lineage: Eukaryota; Viridiplantae; Streptophyta; Magnoliopsida; Malpighiales; Euphorbiaceae
Source: RNAcentral
AUUGUUAAGCACUAGACUAGCUCAGCUCGGAAAAGUGGUUUUUACACAUUGAUCAUAAACAAAAGGUUACCUUGAACUACGAGUAGUAACUACUAAUAACAAGUAGAAUCUACUCAAAAUAGAGAAAGAUGCCGAUCACGGUUCCACAGCCAUCUCUGCCUUGGACAGCAAAGAUUAAGAGUAUCAAGUGCCUCCUUUGAGAACAUGAAAUUACAAGUAUCCUUGAAGUUUUCACUUUUCUUCUCCUUCAAUAUCAUAACACAAUCGGACCAAUCCAAUUGCAAUAGAACAUCAUAAGACUAGAAAACCAGGUUUAGCAGAGAUAGCAGGACAUUCAAAUAAAUUAAAAUUCGUCAUCUUUAAAGUUAACAGCAAGAUCCCAAUAAUGGGGAACCCCAGCAUCAGCAAAAACUUUACGAGCAGCAGCCUCUGUCCUGCAGUCAUAAACAAAAAACCUAUGGAAGCUUGAUUUAGCAACACUCCCUUGCCAGACCAACACACACUUGUUGAGAGGCUUA